GAUCCUGGCUCAGGACGAACGCUGGCGGCGUGCCUAACACAUGCAAGUCGAGCGGGGACACAUUUUGGAAGUUUUCGGAUGGAAGAAGUGUGUUCUAGCGGCGGACGGGUGAGUAACGCGUGAGCAACCUGUCCCUCACAGGGGAAUAACGCAUCGAAAGGUGUGCUAAUACCGCAUGAGACCACGGUACCGACAUGGUACAGGGGUUAAAGGAGCAAUCCGGUGAGGGGUGGGCUCGCGUCUGAUUAG
RNAcentral lists this ribosomal RNA (249 nucleotides) under uncultured bacterium. RNAcentral describes it as "partial 16S ribosomal RNA". It matches the Rfam family "Bacterial small subunit ribosomal RNA", at positions 15 to 244 of the family's 1533-position model. The record is from RNAcentral.